GCGCUGCGAGCUUCCCCGCAGCAGUGUCCUGCCCCAGGGCAGUGCCCCCCAUGCCGCUGUGCCCCACUGGGGAUGCCGGCUGCCCCCUCUACGGCCCUCGCGUGGGGCUGGUCGUGGUGCUGAUCCACCAUGUCUGCCUGUCGCAGGGGCCGCAAGGCGAGCCCGGCCCCCCCGGGCAGCAAGGGACGCCGGGAACCCAGGGUCUGCCGGGUCCCCAGGGUGCUACUGGACCUCCUGGCGAGAAGGUGAGAGSCGGACCCCGCGCCCGGGGCACGUGGGGCGGUGGGGGACGGUGCCACGCUGCUGCCUCUGACCUCGACUUCUCUCCCCGCAGGGCCCCCAGGGGAAACCCGGCCUGCCCGGCAUGCCYGGCUCCGACGGCCCCGCUGGCCACCCAGGGAAGGAGGGACCACCUGGCACCAAAGGCAACCAGGGCCCAUCGGGUCCCCAAGGCCCCAUCGGCUACCCGGGCCCCCGCGGUGUGAAGGUCAGUGCCUGACUUGGGGUGGGGGAACAAGAGGCAAUGGAAGGUGCUGGGUAUCAGCACC
Molecule: long non-coding RNA, 548 nt
Filed under: Dromaius novaehollandiae (emu)
Lineage: Eukaryota; Metazoa; Chordata; Aves; Casuariiformes; Dromaiidae
Description: lncRNA (ENSDNVG00000012073.1)
Source: RNAcentral